UAGAUGCGAGAGUAGAGCAUAUCAAUAAGCGGAGGAAAAGAAACUAACAAGGAUUCCCUUAGUAACGGCGAGUGAAGCGGGAAGAGCUCAAAUUUGAAAUCUUCAAGGUUCUACCUUGACGAAUUGUAGUUUAUAGAAGUGUUUUCUGUUAGUAGAGUGGCAAAAGUUCUUUGGAAUAGGACAUCAUAGAGGGUGAGAAUCCCGUAUUUGGUCAUUCCUCCUAGCUUUGUGAUACACUUUCAACGAGUCGGAUUGUUUGGGAAUGCAGUCCAAAAUGGGUGGUAAAUUUCAUCUAAAGCUAAAUAUUGGAGAGAGACCGAUAGCGAACAAGUACCGUGAGGGAAAGAUGAAAAGAACUUUGAAAAGAGAGUUAAACAGUACGUGAAAUUGUCAAGAGGGAAGCGUUUGACACCAGUGUUGUUUUUCGAAAAUCAAUUACGAAUGUUUUAUUUUUGAGGAGUUAUGACUUCAUCGGCUUGCUCCUUUCUUUAUGGAACUUUCUUAAUGCACUUUUCGGUUAACAAGUCAACAUCAAUUUCUUUUGUUGUAAAAGGGUAUGAGGAAGGUGGCUUUCUUUUCGGAGAAAGUGUUUAUAGCCUUGUGCCUCUGCAAUCGGAGAGAUUGAGGUCUGCAGCGUAGAUCCUUCGGGGUUAGAUACAGUUUGUGCUAAGUUAUAGCUUUUCAUAGACAACUUGUUGACUAUGAUUAGUCAUUGUAGCUUACUCGCUUAUGCUCAUUUUACCUACGCUUAGGAUGUUGACGAGACUGUCGAUCUC
RNAcentral lists this ribosomal RNA (776 nucleotides) under uncultured Neocallimastigales. Its description in RNAcentral is "partial large subunit ribosomal RNA". It matches the Rfam family "Eukaryotic large subunit ribosomal RNA", at positions 22 to 645 of the family's 3401-position model. Lineage: Eukaryota; Fungi; Neocallimastigomycota; Neocallimastigomycetes; Neocallimastigales. The record is from RNAcentral.